RNAcentral lists this long non-coding RNA (1232 nucleotides) under Homo sapiens (human). Its description in RNAcentral is "non-protein coding lnc-SLC16A4-3:2". The record is from RNAcentral. Lineage: Eukaryota; Metazoa; Chordata; Mammalia; Primates; Hominidae.
ACAAACAUUUGUUAAGUUCCGUGGGGUGUUUGGCUGUGCUUCGGCCCUUGGAGUUCGAAACUUCUGAGCUCCCCGCCGUCGUACCUGUGCCGGCCAAGGGGCGGGGCAGGCUUUCCGGCUGUCGGGGCCCUCCAGUCCCUCAGGAAGCCGUCCUGGGACGCCUAGCGGACACCAUUUUACGUCGCUGUGGUAGCUGAGUGAACAGCCGGGGGGAGCCCCGCCCCCCGCGCGCGGGAGAGCGCCGCCCGCGGUCACCUGGGCCCGCGGGGCAGAGAGUUCACGGUUCCUGCAGCCUCGGGUCAUGCUGACGCCCCCGGGCGGUGCUAACACGUAACACGCGGGACCUCGAGAGCUAAGAAGCAGGGCGACUAAGACGCAGCCCUCGCCCAGGAGCCCGUCUCUCCCGCGAGCUACCCGUUCCCGCCCAAGUACUCCGGGUAACCGAGGGGAGUGACCGUCGCUCCCCGCCUCGUGGCCCGCGGGCGGAGCCGGAACUGUCGGGACACCGCGGACGUGUCUUUGGGCGGCAUGCUCCAUGCAGAUAUGUCACUUGUUUUUCCCCCUGUGGCUUCUUGUAUCCCUUGGCACUCUUAUUGUGUGUUAAAAGCCAGCAGCACAGGCACCUUGCGGCCGCUCCAGAUCCACCUCGUUUGGCUCCUUCAGUCGUUCGCCGUACAACUUUCCUUUCCAUAGUGCGUUACUGUGGCGGACAGAGCACCUGUGAGAGGUGCAGGCGAUGCCGAGCUUAGGGGGGUAUGGCCUGUGCCCCAGCACUCGCCGGUUGCUGGAGGGACGCAGCGCUGAGGUCACCACAGCCUUUAGACUGUCUGCAGCCCUCCCAGGUUCGCGCCGGGGCGGAGGUUAUGAGGAUUCUUGUAUUGAUCCGGUCCUCAACCCUAUUUCCCAAGAUCCAAUCUAUAGUAGAGGGUGUGAGGUGUUUUUAAACGUGACAUUUUUCAAGGUAACAAUAAUAUCCCAAAAGCUGAAACCUAAACUUAAAAACUGUGUUAAGAUUAGGGACUGUAACCUAAAUUUAGCCUUGGCUGAGCCAUCCUUCUUUUUGUAAAUAAUCGUGAGGAAUGUGAAGCUGGAGGCCUUCUAUCUCUUGAUUAGAUCAAAGAAACUCGAAGGAAGAAGCUCAAUUGUAAAGCAUAAAAAUCCACAAUAUUGUAAUGUGUAGACAUCUUCAUUGUAUUAAAAUGGGAAAUAAAACUUCAUAAGGCAUAAAAUAA